This 301-nucleotide ribosomal RNA is filed under the name uncultured bacterium. Its description in RNAcentral is "partial 16S ribosomal RNA". It matches the Rfam family "Bacterial small subunit ribosomal RNA", at positions 509 to 807 of the family's 1533-position model. The record is from RNAcentral.
CAGUAGCCACGGGAAUACAGAGGGUGCGAGCGUUAAUCGGAUUUACUGGGCGUAAAGCGUGUGUAGGUUGUUGUUCAAGUCAGUUGUGAAAUCCCUGGGCUCAACCUGGGAACUGCUUCUGAGACUGAACGACUAGAGUACGGUAGAGGGUGGUGGAAUUUCCGGUGUAGCGGUGAAAUGCGUAGAUAUCGGAAGGAACAUCAAUGGCGAAGGCAGCCACCUGGGCCUGUACUGACACUGAGACACGAAAGCGUGGGGAUCAAACAGGAUUAGAUACCCCUGUAGUCCCUGUCUCUUAUAC